GUCUAUGGCCAUGCUACCCGGAACAUGCCCAAUCCCGUCUGAUCUCGGAAGCUAAGCUGGGUUGGGCUUGGUUAGUACUUGGAUGGGAGACCACCUAGGAAGACCAGGUGUUGCAGGCA
RNAcentral lists this ribosomal RNA (119 nucleotides) under Pteropus alecto (black flying fox). The record is from RNAcentral. Lineage: Eukaryota; Metazoa; Chordata; Mammalia; Chiroptera; Pteropodidae.